Molecule: RNA transcript, 2027 nt
Organism: Zea mays
Lineage: Eukaryota; Viridiplantae; Streptophyta; Magnoliopsida; Poales; Poaceae
Gene name: L-allo-threonine aldolase pseudogene
Source: RefSeq, marked validated
CGCCCGACAGCUACUGUGUCCGUGCGUGCAGCGGUCGCCCAACUCAUAGCGGGACACCAGAUCUCAAGUUCACCAGCAUCUCCAGAAGAUCCUAUCCUGUGGCGCGCUAAUUGACGGCAUGGGGAGCUGAACUCGGCACAUCGCACCACAUUGGAACACAUCACACACGGUGGCAAUUCUGUGAAGCCCAAAGGUUCCAAGUCACCAUGAGAAAAUUGAAAUGGCAAGAUCUCUUAAUCUAAUUGUUGCACCUUGGAAGGUCUGAACCAUCAGAGUUUAACUGUAUCACCCAUUUACACAAGUUCCUACCAUCACAGUUCAACUGUAUCACUCAUCCAUAAGCAAUUACUUGUGUUGAAAUUUAUGAGAAGACAUAUGCCUCUGUUAAGUGUCAGGAUCUUUUUUGCUGGGAAGCCAAUUCCUUACUGAUCUGAGGGACAACAUUUUUGUUUGCCUGAUAAGGUGAUGAAGGUGGCUGGACAACACGAUUAUGGGUAUUUUCUUAUCGAGUGAUACAAGACAUUGUUCUGCCACUGAUUACAGUAAGCCUAUACUAGAUUGGCUUGAGAAUUCCAGUGAUGAGGUAGCAUAGAAGUGUGAUGCCAUAACAUUUGGUGUUCUGAAGAAUCGGCAAAAAAAAACUUGCCGAGCAGUUUUAGUAUUUCUAACGUGCCUGAAUUUAAAUCUGAAAAAUGCAAAUCAGAGACAUGGCUGCUACUAUGAGGGAUAAGUGAGUCAUUGAUAUCUUCCUGAUGCAGCAUGGUAUUCUUUGCAAAAAUCUCUUCUUUGCAUGGAUCAUAUGUGUAUCUAAUUCGGCUCUUCACUUAGAAAUUUUAGACAUCUUUGUGUUCGUCCUAGCCUCUUAAUCUAUUAUGUUCAUUGUGCCAUGCACUUGGUGUUCCUAUGGACAGACUUGUGAAAGCCGCAGAUUCAGUUUCGGUGUGCCUAUCUAAAGGUUUAGGCGCCCCUGUUGGAUUCAAUGGCCUUUGUUGACAAGAAAUAUGAACAAUACCUAGAGGCCAAAAAUCUUCGAAAGACCCUAGGUGGUGGAAUGAGGCAGGUUGGAGUUCUGUGUGCUGAUUCUCAUACACUAUGGGAAAGCUUGCUGGUGAGGAUAGAAAGGCUAAAGUUGUGACAGUUGGUACAAUGGUUUCCCCAACCACUUAUGCUCGACGUUGCCUGUCAUAUUUGAUGAAUGGCAUAUGCCACAUGAGGCAUUGAAUGAUGCAAUGAAUGCUCUGGUAAUAUCUCCCACAUGGUCAACAACAUUAUAUCUUUAGGCACCACAUGUUCUGAAGUUGCAUUUCUUGUUUCGGGUUCAAAAAUUAGUAACCUGGUAAUUUCUUGUCCUAUUUUGAGCCCUGAAGAUUUCUUUGACGUUUUGAGUUCUAGAGUUUGGAGCUUCCAGGUGACGGAUUUCAUCUCACUCAAUAGUCUCCUCGCUCAAGGAGUUCAUCCAAGCUCGGUGGGUGCAAGCCUGCAAGGCACAAAGCUACGUUUACUUUUAUUUGGGUUGCAAGAGGAACUAGAACCGUGAAUGGGGCUGCCUCGGCGAGGGCACCAUUCAAGCUUCACACUUUGUUUUCUGUACGGAUGAGAACAACAUACGAGGCAAGGUGAACGUCUCUGUGGUGGAUGGUAGAGGCAUGGCUCUCCCUCACGCAGCGUCGUGCCUCCCAUCCUCAUCGCCAACGUAGCUCCCGUCUGGCUCACCAUAUCCCGCAGUUGUUCUCUGUGUGUGGCCAAAGGGAAGAAGAAAUCACAUUUUGACGAUUAACACAAGUAAUUCCCCUUCCUUGGUCUCCCUCAGAAGUCACAUUUUGAUGAUAGAACUUUGUAUGCUUAACAUUUUCCUUAUAAGUCAGAGUAUUGCGUAUCCAGUAAAACAGAUUUCAAAAGUUAUCUUCUCGUCAUGGAUUAUUGUUAUUCUUUGUUUUCAUGCAAAAUAUAAUUUUAGAAGCAUGCAUGUACGUGCAUGCUCUUUGUAAUUUCAAAUUUCUAGAGCAAUAUAUCUCGUGACCUGGUGU